UAAUGCCGGAUGCUCCAGUUGAUCGCAUGGUCUUCUGGGAAAGCUUUCGCGGUAUGGGAUGGGGUCGCGUCCUAUCAGCUUGACGGCGGGGUAACGGCCCACCGUGGCUUCGACGGGUAGCCGGCCUGAGAGGGCGACCGGCCACAUUGGGACUGAGAUACGGCCCAGACUCCUACGGGAGGCAGCAGUGGGGAAUAUUGCACAAUGGGCGCAAGCCUGAUGCAGCGACGCCGCGUGAGGGAUGGAGGCCUUCGGGUUGUAAACCUCUUUUAUCGGGGAGCAAGCGAGAGUGAGUUUACCCGUUGAAUAAGCACCGGCUAACUACGUGCCAGCAGCCGCGGUAAUACGUAGGGUGCAAGCGUUAUCCGGAAUUAUUGGGCGUAAAGGGCUCGUAGGCGGUUCGUCGCGUCCGGUGUGAAAGUCCAUCGCUUAACGGUGGAUCCGCGCCGGGUACGGGCGGGCUUGAGUGCGGUAGGGGAGACUGGAAUUCCCGGUGUAACGGUGGAAUGUGUAGAUAUCGAGAAGAGAA
RNAcentral lists this ribosomal RNA (529 nucleotides) under Bifidobacterium longum subsp. suillum. RNAcentral's name for it is "bacterial SSU rRNA". It matches the Rfam family "Bacterial small subunit ribosomal RNA", at positions 164 to 708 of the family's 1533-position model. Lineage: Bacteria; Bacillati; Actinomycetota; Actinomycetes; Bifidobacteriales; Bifidobacteriaceae. The record is from RNAcentral.